Molecule: ribosomal RNA, 274 nt
Filed under: uncultured bacterium
Lineage: Bacteria
Description: partial 16S ribosomal RNA
Rfam family: Bacterial small subunit ribosomal RNA
Source: RNAcentral
AGACGGAGGGUGCAAGCGUUAAUCGGAAUUACUGGGCGUAAAGCGCUCGUAGGCGGCCUGUUAAGUCGGAUGUGAAAGCCCCGGGCUCAACCUGGGAACUGCAUUCGAAACUGGCAGGCUAGAGUAUAGUAGAGGCAAGUGGAAUUCCGGGUGUAGCGGUGAAAUGCGUAGAUAUCCGGAGGAACAUCAGUGGCGAAGGCGACUUGCUGGACUAAUACUGACGCUGAGGAGCGAAAGCGUGGGGAGCAAACAGGAUUAGAAACCCCAGUAGUCC